This 393-nucleotide ribosomal RNA is filed under the name uncultured bacterium. RNAcentral describes it as "partial 16S ribosomal RNA". It matches the Rfam family "Bacterial small subunit ribosomal RNA", at positions 523 to 918 of the family's 1533-position model. The record is from RNAcentral.
AUACGGGGGAUACGAGCGUUAUCCGGAUUUAUUGGGUUUAAAGGGUGCGCAGGCGGACCGGUAAGUCAGGGGUGAAAAGUCGGGGCUCAACUCCGAUCGUGCCUUUGAUACUGCCGGACUGGAGUGCGAUAGGCGUGGCCGGAAUGUGGGGUGUAGCGGUGAAAUGCUUAGAUAUGCCACAGAACACCGAUCGAGAAGUCAGGUCACGAGUUCGCAACUGACGCUCAUGCACGAAAGCGUGGGGAUCAAACAGGAUUAGAUACCCUGGUAGUCCACGCUGUAAACGAUGAUCACUCGUUGUUGGGGGGUGACCCUCGGCGGCCAAGCGAAAGCGAUAAGUGAUCCACCUGGGGAGUACGAUCGCAAGGUUGAAACUCAAAUGAAUUGACGGGG